RNAcentral lists this long non-coding RNA (572 nucleotides) under Bos taurus (domestic cattle). RNAcentral describes it as "long non-coding RNA NONBTAT019613". The record is from RNAcentral. Lineage: Eukaryota; Metazoa; Chordata; Mammalia; Artiodactyla; Bovidae.
UUUUAAUGGGAAAACAGUAACAAGGGCUGGGACAAUUUUGAGAAAUGCAUUAUGAGAGAACAGUAAUAAAAGAUAUUCUUUGACUGCGUGAUUUGAUUAGCUACUUAAAAAGAGAUUCAAGAAGGCAUAAAUUUGCAGACCUUUAUAUGAUACUGCAGUAGUAGCAACAAACAAAAACUAAAGAUGAAUAAUACACUAAUUUCCUAUCACUUAUAAAUCAAUCUUUGUUCCUGUGCUCUUUGAAAGCAUUAUGACUUUAGUAACUGAAACUCUAACACAAUAAACUAAUUCUCUAGGCUUUUUGAUCAUAGUAACUGGUGGCUGGUUCCUGUGAGUGACCUAAGUGUGUCUGUAGGCCACUAUGGAUAAGAGUUGGCCAUAUACUAAAAUCUAGAGUCUUUCCAUUAACUGGUAUACAGGCAGGCUCAAUUACGAAAGGUGUGGGUGGUUGCCUCAUUUAUCAGGAGUGAAUUACUUUUUGAGGUGGCUGCAGUUCCCUCACACCCACUCUUUUUUUUUUCUUUUUUAAAGUCUGGCAAGGCUCACAUUUUAAGAACAAACAAGAAGCCCUG